This 777-nucleotide ribosomal RNA is filed under the name uncultured Neocallimastigales. Its description in RNAcentral is "partial large subunit ribosomal RNA". The stretch from base 5 to 695 matches the Rfam family "Eukaryotic large subunit ribosomal RNA", at positions 24 to 664 of the family's 3401-position model. The record is from RNAcentral. Lineage: Eukaryota; Fungi; Neocallimastigomycota; Neocallimastigomycetes; Neocallimastigales.
CAUAGCGACUAUCGUGGCAUAUCAAUAAGCGGAGGAAAAGAAACUAACAAGGAUUCCCUUAGUAACGGCGAGUGAAGCGGGAAGAGCUCAAAUUUGAAAUCUUCAAGGUUUUACCUUGACGAAUUGUAGUUUAAAGAAGUGUUUUCUGUUGGAGUUUUGGUAAAAGUUCUUUGGAAUAGGACAUCAUAGAGGGUGAGAAUCCCGUAUUUGACCAUUAUUUCCAGCUUUGUGAUACACUUUCAAAGAGUCGGAUUGUUUGGGAAUGCAGUCCAAAAUGGGUGGUAAAUUUCAUCUAAAGCUAAAUAUUGGCGAGAGACCGAUAGCGAACAAGUACCGUGAGGGAAAGAUGAAAAGAACUUUGAAAAGAGAGUUAAACAGUACGUGAAAUUGUCAAAAGGGAAGCGUUUGACACCAGUGUUGUUUUCUCGAAAAUCAAUUAAAAAUGAUGGGAUUUUGUGUUGUAUUGACUUUAUCAGCUUUCUGCACUUUUUUCUUAGUCUUUUUUAAUGCACUUUUCGUUUAACAAGUCAACAUCAAUUUCUUUUGUUGUAAAAGAGUCAUUGGAAGGUGGCUUUUCAUUCGGUGAAAAGUGUUUAUAGCCUUUGACUUCUGCAAUCGGAGAGAUUGAGGUCUGCAGCGUAGAUCCUUCGGGGUUAGAUACAUUUGUGCUAAGCUAUAGUUCUUUAUAGACAACUUGUUGACUAUAGUCUAGUCCUGUGACUUACUCGCUUAUGCUAUUUUACCUACGCUUAGGAUGUUGAUAGUCACAGCGUGUAC